Long non-coding RNA from Asparagus officinalis (garden asparagus), 394 nucleotides. RefSeq lists it as uncharacterized. The record is from RefSeq and is a predicted model, not a curated record. Lineage: Eukaryota; Viridiplantae; Streptophyta; Magnoliopsida; Asparagales; Asparagaceae. The transcript has 4 exons.
GAGCGGAGAAGAGGAGAGAGAAGCUAAAACCCUACGGAGCGAGCACGAAUCUCAAAGCGACCGGCCGAGCUCGUUAAAGGUUCGAAGCUUGAGAGGGUGGCGAUGGAGAUGAAGAGCUAGGGCUUGAUCCGUACUAGUUAGGGUUUUGGAGGGAGCUAGGGUUUUGGCUGUUUGUGAGCGGGUUUUGGUCUACGAUGGUAGCUUUGUCCUCGUUUAGGCUGCAGCUGUUGCUGGUCGCUGCGUCCUUUUCAAUCGCGCUCCUCUUCGUUAUGGCCUUUUCUUCUUCUUCUUCUUCUGGAAUUUCACGGCAACUGUUUGAUCGCCCGAGGAUGGAAGUCCGUUACAGUUUGAGCCGUAAGCUUCUGUCGCAAGGCGCAACAGCGAACACGACGAC